UUUGACCUCAAAUCAGGUAGGACUACCCGCUGAACUUAAGCAUAUCAAU
Molecule: ribosomal RNA, 49 nt
Filed under: Barnettozyma californica
Lineage: Eukaryota; Fungi; Ascomycota; Saccharomycetes; Phaffomycetales; Phaffomycetaceae
Also listed under: 3 other names
Description: partial 26S ribosomal RNA
Source: RNAcentral